CAGUAGCCGCGGGAAUACAGAGGGUGCGAGCGUUAAUCGGAUUUACUGGGCGUAAAGCGUGCGUAGGCGGCUUCUUAAGUCGGAUGUGAAAUCCCUGAGCUUAACUUAGGAACUGCAUUCGAGACUGGGAAGCUAGAGUAUGGGAGAGGAUGGUAGAAUUCCAGGUGUAGCGGUGAAAUGCGUAGAGAUCUGGAGGAAUACCGAUGGCGAAGGCAGCCAUCUGGGCUAAUACUGACGCUGAGGUACGAAAGCAUGGGGAGCAAACAGGAUUAGAUACCCGCGUAGUCCCUGUCUCUUAUAA
Molecule: ribosomal RNA, 301 nt
Filed under: uncultured bacterium
Lineage: Bacteria
Description: partial 16S ribosomal RNA
Rfam family: Bacterial small subunit ribosomal RNA
Source: RNAcentral